RNAcentral lists this ribosomal RNA (253 nucleotides) under uncultured bacterium. RNAcentral describes it as "partial 16S ribosomal RNA". It matches the Rfam family "Bacterial small subunit ribosomal RNA", at positions 524 to 776 of the family's 1533-position model. The record is from RNAcentral.
GACGAACCGAGCGAACGUUGUUCGGAAUCACUGGGCUUAAAGGGCGCGUAGGCGGGCCUGCCAGUCUGUGGUGAAAUCCUCCGGCUCAACCGGAGAACUGCCUCGGAUACUGCGGGUCUCGAGGGUGAUAGGGGUAUGCGGAACUAUCGGUGGAGCGGUGAAAUGCGUUGAUAUCGAUAGGAACUCCGGUGGCGAAGGCGGCAUACUGGAUCACUUCUGACGCUGAGGCGCGAAAGCCAGGGGAGCAAACGGG